GGGGUGGCCGGCCAUCACUUGGCCCAAGGCCACCCACUUAAUGAAUAUUUUCCAUGUGCAAAAAAAAGAAUAUAAGUAGUCAUCAUCUCUUAGAAUGUUCAAGAAACAAAACAAAACAAGAAAAUGAAAGAAAGAGUAAGAGGGGGGUUCGGCCCCCUUCAAGACAAAAGAAAAAUUUUCCAAGUCCAUGGAUUUUGAUCAAAAAAUCAUACUUUUCUAGCAAUAUUGCUAAUUAAAGGAUGCUCUUCAACAUGGUAUAAUUUUUAAGGCAAGAAAGUGCUUGUGUUGGCAAGUGGAAGUUUGAAGAAAAAGAUUUUCGACGAAACGGGAAGUGAGCUUGCAUAGGCCUAAAAAGCUCAAAAGGUACAGAAGAUAAAUUUGCUGACCACUUGCCUAGGACAUCCAUUCUGCUAUGUUUGGAGCGCUCUUUUGUCCAGAGCCUAUAUGUUGGUAUAGUCCGUCGCUAUUAUAUAUAUGUAUGCUAUUCAGGGGUAUGACGGGGCCCUGUCCCGUCUUAUGAUUCUGUUAUGAUUUGUAGAGGUCUGUAGACAUACUUGUGUGGGUUCUGCAUAUGUUUGGUUAUGAUACGAUCUGUGAGAGCCUCAUUGGCUUCCAUGUACUGUGUCGGUUCCUUUAUGCUAAUUACUAACG
Long non-coding RNA from Lycium barbarum (goji berry), 651 nucleotides. RefSeq lists it as uncharacterized. NCBI's taxonomy places the organism in Eukaryota, Viridiplantae, Streptophyta, Magnoliopsida, Solanales, Solanaceae. The transcript has 3 exons. The record is from RefSeq and is a predicted model, not a curated record.